RNAcentral lists this ribosomal RNA (467 nucleotides) under uncultured bacterium. RNAcentral's name for it is "partial 16S ribosomal RNA". It matches the Rfam family "Bacterial small subunit ribosomal RNA", at positions 28 to 507 of the family's 1533-position model. The record is from RNAcentral.
GACGAACGCUGGCGGCGUGCUUAACACAUGCAAGUCGAACGAUGACGACCGAGCUUGCUCGGUCUGAUUAGUGGCGAACGGGUGAGUAACACGUGAGCAACCUGCCCUUCACUCUGGGAUAACCUCGGGAAAUCGGGGCUAAUACCGGAUAUGAGCUCCUGUCGCAUGGCGGGUGUUGGAAAGUUUUUCGGUGAAGGAUGGGCUCGCGGCCUAUCAGUUUGUUGGUGAGGUAGUGGCUCACCAAGGCGAUGACGGGUAGCCGGCCUGAGAGGGCGACCGGCCACACUGGGACUGAGACACGGCCCAGACUCCUACGGGAGGCAGCAGUGGGGAAUAUUGCACAAUGGGCGAAAGCCUGAUGCAGCGACGCCGCGUGAGGAAUGACGGCCUUCGGGUUGUAAACCUCUUUCAGCAGGGAAGAAGCGAAAGUGACGGUACCUGCAGAAGAAGCGCCGGCUAACUACGUG